This 473-nucleotide ribosomal RNA is filed under the name uncultured Desulfobulbus sp. RNAcentral describes it as "bacterial SSU rRNA". It matches the Rfam family "Bacterial small subunit ribosomal RNA", at positions 915 to 1382 of the family's 1533-position model. The record is from RNAcentral. Lineage: Bacteria; Pseudomonadati; Thermodesulfobacteriota; Desulfobulbia; Desulfobulbales; Desulfobulbaceae.
GGGGGCCCGCACAAGCGGUGGAGUAUGUGGUUUAAUUCGAUGCAACGCGAAGAACCUUACCUGGUCUUGACAUCCCGGAGACCCUUAGGAAACUAGGGGUGCGUUCCAUCUGGAAGAAUCUGGAGACAGGUGCUGCAUGGCUGUCGUCAGCUCGUGUCGUGAGAUGUUGGGUUAAGUCCCGCAACGAGCGCAACCCUUGCCUUUAGUUGCCAGCAGUUCGGCUGGGCACUCUAAAGGGACUGCCGGUGUUAAACCGGAGGAAGGUGGGGAUGACGUCAAGUCCUCAUGGCCUUUAUGACCAGGGCUACACACGUACUACAAUGGCCGAUACAAAGGGCAGCGACACUGCGAGGUGAAGCCAAUCCCGUAAAAUCGGUCUCAGUCCGGAUUGGAGUCUGCAACUCGACUCCAUGAAGUUGGAAUCGCUAGUAAUCGUGGAUCAGCAUGCCACGGUGAAUACGUUCCCGGGCCUU